AAAAGGAAGAAACUGGAGAGGAGCACGCCGGUGAGGAAGCCUAACACUUCGACUUCAGAUCUGCUCACGUGAUCGGAGGCUCCGCCUCCCCACGAUUCGGUCGCGCCCGGUUCGGCUUCCUCUCGCUCCAAUGCUCGCUCUCACCAGCCUUCGGAUGGGAUCAGCAAGGUGGUAUUUGGAGGUCAAGUGACUGCAGAGAAAUCUGAGAAUUUGAACAAAAGGAAGUCUUGUUCUGCCUACAAGUUGAAAGAAAUCACCGAUAGUGGGAUUUUUGCUGCCAAUGGGGAAGAUGAUUUAUUGGAGCCUGGAAGUGCCAACCCUGCUUCAAAUAACAAAACAGGAUUAAAGAUGUACCAGGUAUGUUUUACUGUGCCGAUUGUAUUUGACCUUUUAAAUUGGUGCUGAGUCCAUGAUGAUGUAUGUAAGCUCUUUUGGUGGUAAACAGGUUUUCAGUGAGUUUUACACAGAAAUAGCAACUCUAGUUUAACACUUUGCUG
Syzygium oleosum is the source of this 497-nucleotide long non-coding RNA. RefSeq lists it as uncharacterized. The transcript is spliced from 3 exons. NCBI's taxonomy places the organism in Eukaryota, Viridiplantae, Streptophyta, Magnoliopsida, Myrtales, Myrtaceae. The record is from RefSeq and is a predicted model, not a curated record.